This 87-nucleotide transfer RNA is filed under the name Pantoea sp. Sc1. Its description in RNAcentral is "tRNA-Leu". The record is from RNAcentral. Lineage: Bacteria; Pseudomonadati; Pseudomonadota; Gammaproteobacteria; Enterobacterales; Erwiniaceae.
AGACGCGCUAGCUUCAGGUGUUAGUGUCUUAACGGACGUGAGGGUUCAAGUCCCUCUCUUCGCACCAUUGCGGUGAUAUGAAAAGAC